Molecule: ribosomal RNA, 301 nt
Filed under: uncultured bacterium
Lineage: Bacteria
Description: partial 16S ribosomal RNA
Rfam family: Bacterial small subunit ribosomal RNA
Source: RNAcentral
CAGUAGCCGCGGUAAUACGUAGGUGGCAAGCGUUGUCCGGAAUUAUUGGGCGUAAAGGGCUCGCAGGCGGUUUCUUAAGUCUGAUGUGAAAGCCCCCGGCUCAACCGGGGAGGGUCAUUGGAAACUGGGAAACUUGAGUGCAGAAGAGGAGAGUGGAAUUCCACGUGUAGCGGUGAAAUGCGUAGAGAUGUGGAGGAACACCAGUGGCGAAGGCGACUCUCUGGUCUGUAACUGACGCUGAGUAGCGAAAGCGUGGGGAGCGAACAGGAUUAGAUACCCCCGUAGUCCCUGUCUCUUAUAC